AGUUGUGUUUGAUACGGCACUUUCACGGUGUCUUGUCAUACAUAUCGUUGUGAAUAGUCUCUAGAUAUUUUCCACAUUUAUCCAACCUAAUAUUUUGGUGUACUACUGCCUAGUGAUCUCCCGACCGGGCCUAUCUCCCAUUCUCUCCAUAUUUCGGUUCUCUUUUUCUCUCACUCAAAAAUGGUUCUCUUCUACACUUUUUUACAUGUUUUUCUAUUCCUUUCCCCAUAUUCUGGUUUCCAAAUCUCAGUUUUUGCAACUCUCACGACAUGUGCAUUUCUUUAGAAGACUCCACACCUGUUUUUUUAAAAUUAGUUCCGGUGUUACGAUUGUUGAGCGUAAUGUAAUAAGGCAAGUGUACAUACUCCCUUCCCCUUUGAAAUGUGUAUCAUAUAAUGGUAACUUGUUUGUAUCCUCACUCACCUUGAUCCAUCUCCAUCUUAUGCAAUCUCGGUUAUUUUUACGUGGUCCCUUAUUCCAUCCAAUGUGUGAAACAUUCCACUGGUUGCCACGUCAAGGUUCCAAAUUCCCGAGUGAAACAAAAUCAUGACCUGGCAACCUGUGGUUAGUACAAAGAAGCCUCCUCUCAGAAAAACGCGGUUAUUAUCUUAUCCCAUUCUCAAUUGCCUCUUCUCACCUCUUGUCUAGUCAUCAAAAGCCCCCAAUUGACUUACCGUACUUGUUACACAUUUCUCUGUUUUAUAUCUGCCCUGCCUUAAAAUCUCUGUUUCCAUCCGUUCCCAAAACGAGUAUUCUUCCCAAAACACACAAAAAGUUUAGGAGUGUAGUAGGUUACUGUAGCUAGCUACUAUGUGUAUCUGCAUUUUCUCUUAUCUAGAAAACGUCCGGGUCGUUCUCCCACCACUAAAAAAUGUUCCAUCUCAUUCUCUUUUUAACGUUAAGUCGUUUUGUUUUGUUGUCUGCGUUCAGGGAUUGUUUCUUUCUUUAAUUUUUAUUUUUUCUUCACUACCAAAUCAUUGUUGUUUUCUUCCGUUUGCCACCUUCGGGUCACAAAUCUUUUUUUUCCAAAAUUUGCUAUUAAUGUGUUUUUUCUCAUCAUUUGGCGAAGCCGGUAUUUCAUUCCAUCUCUGUUUUCCAACCCGUCCCAAAUAGUUGUCCCACUUCCCCCCGUUAAUGAUAAUGAUUCAGUAGCCAAUUUUGUUUUCUUUUCCUUCUAGAAUCUCUGAAAAUCCUCUCAUUGUCUUCCCCACAGGUUCAAUCCGUAUUCAUUUGCGCCGCGCGCAACCCUCCAUCUUUUCCAACCAGCUUUACCCAUUUCAGUAAGUGCCCCGUCACUCUUACCAUUCUCUUUCACAUCCUCCACUCUCUUCAAUUUGCUUUUACCGUUUCUAGAUUUGAUUCUGUAGACUAAUAUGCGAGUGUGAGUGAGAUUUUGCGAGUGUGUGAGUUUGACUGCGCGCCGAACAGCCUAAAUCUGAAAAGUUUGGCGCGCGCACGUGGCGCAGUGAUUCGGUUGGAAUAUGUGGAUUUACAAUAAGGGUGAAAAAAAAAGACUUUUGAAAGAAAAGAAAAUGAAAAAAAAACCAAAAAAAAAUUGAAGAAACGAUAAGAACGAUCCCUAAAAUCCACAGCACAACAGACAACCGAACACUUCGAUCCACGACCCAGUGUACUUUCUAGAUCAGUCAGAUCCGGAAACCACCAACUUCCCCAAAAACCUUUUGAAUUGUAUCCACCUUUAGUUUACUCGCAUUCAGAACCCCCACAAUCCUCCCUCAACAUUGUAUCACUGGUCCCACCGGCGUCAGAGAUGUCCCUAAACAUUUCAAAAUCUUUGACCGGUGAGCCAGACGACCUUCAUUCCGUCAUCUCAAAAAAACAAAACAUGCCAAAAGAAAUACAUGUAUGAACAAACAAAACAGACAUCUUCCCGGAUCCCAAGUCACUAUCUAGUUAGUUAAGAAUACCUCUCUUGUCAAUUAACUUUAAUAUUUUCUUAAAUAAUCCAACAACCAUCUCUCAAUGUGCAACCCGUCAAAACACAAAAAAAGCUCUUUAACAUGGAUUUAGUCGUGUAUAAAUUUUCCAUUCUUGUCUCUUGUCACCACCACCCCAAAACAUAAUGUGAUUCCCACCUCAACUAAUUCUCAGUCAGUUUUGCAUUUUUUGUGUCUCCUACCAUCAGUGUGUACCGGUGUACGUUUGUGAGUGAGUGUGCUCCAAAUUGGAGCCUCGCGUAUGAACGGUGUCCUUUUUCAUUUUUAUUCGACUUUCCCCUCCUCAUCUUUUGUACUGUUCUUCUUCUACAUUCUCCUUUCAAUCAUUCUUUUCCAAUCUACAAACCCGAUCAACUCAGUGUGCUUUUUGCCGAUUUUUCUCUCUCGAUUGUGUCGAUAAUUUAUGUAUUUUUGCUUCAUUUCAACCUUCCCCCGACAGAUAAUAUAUUGAUUAUUCGACCUCUCCCUUUCCCCCCAAUAGUGUCUUAUUUCUAUCUCUAUUCCCUUUUCGUUUGAACUCGAUUUCAUACGCGGUGUGAAGGCUAUAAAUAAAUACGUUUUUGUUAG
Non-coding RNA from Caenorhabditis elegans, 2525 nucleotides. The record is from Ensembl. NCBI's taxonomy places the organism in Eukaryota, Metazoa, Nematoda, Chromadorea, Rhabditida, Rhabditidae.